This 392-nucleotide ribosomal RNA is filed under the name uncultured bacterium. RNAcentral's name for it is "partial 16S ribosomal RNA". It matches the Rfam family "Bacterial small subunit ribosomal RNA", at positions 523 to 918 of the family's 1533-position model. The record is from RNAcentral.
AUACGGAGGAUCCGAGCGUUAUCCGGAUUUAUUGGGUUUAAAGGGUGCGCAGGCGGCCAUUUAAGUCAGCGGUUAAAUCGUGGGGCUCAACCCCAUUCUGCCGUUGAUACUGGGUGGCUUGAUUGCGGUCGAGGUUGGCGGAAUUCGUUGUGUAGCGGUGAAAUGCAUAGAUAUGACGAAGAACACCGAUUGCGUAGGCAGCUGACCAGAUCACAAAUGACGCUCAUGCACGAAAGUGCGGGGAUCGAACAGGAUUAGAUACCCUGGUAGUCCGCACAGUAAACGAUGAAUACUUGUUUUCGGCGAUAUAAUGUCGGAGGCAAAGCGAAAGCGAUAAGUAUUCCACCUGGGGAGUACGCCGGCAACGGUGAAACUCAAAUGAAUUGACGGGG